Molecule: ribosomal RNA, 465 nt
Filed under: uncultured bacterium
Lineage: Bacteria
Description: partial 16S ribosomal RNA
Rfam family: Bacterial small subunit ribosomal RNA
Source: RNAcentral
GACGAACGCUGGCGGCGUGCUUAACACAUGCAAGUCGAACGGAAAGGCCCUGCUUGCAGGGUACUCGAGUGGCGAACGGGUGAGUAACACGUGGGUGAUCUGCCCUGCACUUCGGGAUAAGCCUGGGCAACUGGGUCUAAUACCGGAUAGGAGACAUUUUUAGUGUGAUGGUUGGAAAGUUUUUUCGGUGUAGGAUGAGCUCGCGGCCUAUCAGCUUGCUGGUGGGGUAAUGGCGUACCAAGGCGGCGACGGGUAGCCGGCCUGAGAGGGUGGACGGCGACAUUGGGACUGAGGGACGGCCCAGACUCCUACGGGAGGCAGCAGGGGGGAAGAUUGCACGAGGGGCGCAAGCCGGAUGCAGCGAGGCCGCGGGGGGGAUGACGGCCUUCGGGUUGUAGACUCCUUUCGCUAGGGACGAAGCUUUUUGUGACGGUACCUAGAUAAGAAGCACCGGCUAACUACGUG